This is a long non-coding RNA of Gorilla gorilla gorilla (western lowland gorilla), 834 nucleotides long. RefSeq lists it as uncharacterized. NCBI's taxonomy places the organism in Eukaryota, Metazoa, Chordata, Mammalia, Primates, Hominidae. The transcript has 4 exons. The record is from RefSeq and is a predicted model, not a curated record.
AUCGUGACUAUGUAACCAGUAUUGGUCGGUGGCCCAAGGUCUGUCUCCUUUCAGGGUUCAACCUCCAACCUUAUUUCUGCUUCCUUCAUGUUGGAAUUCACACUGUGAGAAUUGUUGUCAUCCUUUCUUUAUGACUCCAAGAGAAACUUUAUACUGGAGGAAGAAUAUUCUACCACUUUGGGAUGCUUCCAAAGAAAUGGGAUACCAAAGGAGUGAACUUCAGGUCAUUGGAAGUGGCCAAGCUGGAGGGCGACCUAUGGAGACAUGACCUUCAGUUCUUCCUGAGAUCAAUAAAGCUUAAAAGAAAAGAAAAAGCCAACUCAGCUUGUGCAUGGAUCCUGGACCUUGCUCUAAUACAGACCCCGCUCCUGGAGUGUAAGCCAUGCUUGACGGCUCAGCUUUCUUGUCACUAAUGAGGUGGGAUGUGGUUGUGCAUUCAAAAUCUAGCAAGGACGAAGUGAGUGCACCACUGAUUAAACAUGGAGAGAAAUUUCUUUCCAAAAGGCUGUGUAAGAGGAGAAGCAGGAGAUGUAUGUAAGAUUUCUCAUUUGUGCGAUGCAUCCUCUGAACCACUGUGAUGCCACAGGCUGCUGAACUUUCCACAGGGGCCAUUAGGGACGAAAUCACACCGAUGGAAUGAAAGGGAAAAUAACCAAAGACAACAGCAACAGCUCAAAACACCAGAAAAAGCAGCAACACUGUAUCUAUCCAUCACUGGCCCAACUCGACAUCUGGAAAAGAACCCAGAGUAGCUGCCAACCAGAUGGCCCCUUGGUUCUCGGCUUGGGUCAUGGAAAAACUGAAGAUGCAUUAGAUCAUCAAAGAAAAUGGCAC